This 968-nucleotide long non-coding RNA is filed under the name Olea europaea subsp. europaea. The record is from RNAcentral. Lineage: Eukaryota; Viridiplantae; Streptophyta; Magnoliopsida; Lamiales; Oleaceae.
GUCUAUCAUAUUUUAAUCACAAAAUCACAAAAAUAAAAGAUAAAAAAGUGAAUACAUAACCCGGAUAAUUAAGAAUUAAACUUGGUACAGUCCUUAAUCUUUAAUUUCUUCAAUGAUAUCGGAUGGCGCCUUUUUCUUCAAAAUCACCCAGAGCUUCCAAAGAUCUCUUGUAAUUUUGCUCCGAAGAAAAUUGAUGUCUUUUAUAUGGAAUUCCUCUAUAUGAUAUUCUAUUAUGUGGUGUGGGAUUCCACCUUUAUUUGACCUCGAUAUAAUCUUCAUAUAAAGGUUUACUUGCCUUGAAAAUCGUGUCCAAAAAUCUCCGUAGUGCAAUAAAAUUAGGAAAUUAAGUUUCCUAAACUCAAUCUCGAAGGGGACUCUUUGGGAUCGUAACGUGCUUGCUGCGGUCACUGAGAGUAAAACUUUUGUUCCCUGAGUAAAUCUUCAUAGAAAACUUUGUACACUAAUUUCCUCAUGUAGAUUUCCUAUUUCGCAGCCUUUGGUCUUUUGGUGCUUCAAAUCACUUCAAUUUUCUCAAUUGAUCUUUAAAUUUGGGGUUCAACUAGUAAACAAAAUAUAUAAUAAUACGAAUAGAAGUUCGCAAAGAUUUAUGUAGAUUUAAAAGUCUAUAUAACGUAUAAAACACACUUAUCAUAAUGGCUUUUACAAAAUUUGGAUAUAUGGUUUCAUAAGGUGGUGAGGUAUCUAAUCAAGAAAAUAUGUUUAGGUCAACCUUGCAAAUUUGAGAUACACAAAACUGGGUUUUCAUAAUUGAACAAUUGCAAUUCUUGAUAUUUGAAUGCUCAUUUGGAGGUCUGAUUGGCAAUCGACAUUAGAGGCUUCACAUUGAAAAGUUGAUUUGACCACGUGAUAAAGUGACACAACAUGAAUUCAAAUUAAUUUCAUCCGAGAGUUCGACCAAUGGUGUUGGUACUAACUUGGUUAUUUUGAUUGUGCAAGAUAAUCUAAAU